This 252-nucleotide ribosomal RNA is filed under the name uncultured bacterium. Its description in RNAcentral is "partial 16S ribosomal RNA". It matches the Rfam family "Bacterial small subunit ribosomal RNA", at positions 525 to 776 of the family's 1533-position model. The record is from RNAcentral.
ACGAAGGGGACUAGCGUUGUUCGGAAUUACUGGGCGUAAAGCGCACGUAGGCGGAUUUGUAAGUCAGGGGUGAAAUCCCGGGGCUCAACCUCGGAACUGCCUUUGAUACUGCAAAUCUCGAGUCCGAUAGAGGUGGGUGGAAUUCCUAGUGUAGAGGUGAAAUUCGUAGAUAUUAGGAAGAACACCGGUGGCGAAGGCGGCCCACUGGAUCGGUACUGACGCUGAGGUGCGAAAGCGUGGGGAGCAAACAGG